UACGUAGGCAGCAAGCGUUGUUCGGAGUUACUGGGCGUAAAGGGUGUGUAGGCGGUCUUCUAAGUCUGGUGUGAAAUCUCCCGGCUCAACUGGGAGGGUGCGCCGAAAACUGGAAGGCUAGAGUUCGGUAGGGGAGACUGGAAUUCCUGGUGUAGCGGUGAAAUGCGCAGAUAUCAGGAAGAACACCAAUGGCGAAAGCAGCUCUCUGGGACGGUACUGACGCUGAGACGCGAAAGCGUGGGGAGCGAACAGG
RNAcentral lists this ribosomal RNA (253 nucleotides) under uncultured bacterium. RNAcentral's name for it is "partial 16S ribosomal RNA". It matches the Rfam family "Bacterial small subunit ribosomal RNA", at positions 524 to 776 of the family's 1533-position model. The record is from RNAcentral.